RNAcentral lists this unclassified non-coding RNA (382 nucleotides) under uncultured Pseudomonadota bacterium. Its description in RNAcentral is "uncultured proteobacterium contains 16S-23S intergenic spacer region". The record is from RNAcentral. Lineage: Bacteria; Pseudomonadati; Pseudomonadota.
UCACAGUUUGCACUGGCAGUCUUGCUAGAGUUCCCGACAUGACUCGCUGGCAACUAACAACAGGUGUUGCGCUCGUUAUAGGACUUAACCCAACAUCUCACGACACGAGCUGACGACAGCCAUGCAGCACCUGUGUUCCCGCCAGCCGAACUGAAGGGUUCCAUCUCUGGAGCCCAUACGGGACAUGUCAAGGGCCGGUAAGGUUCUGCGCGUUGCUUCGAAUUGAACCACAUGCUCCACCGCUUGUGCGGGCCCCCGUCAAUUCAUUUGAGUUUUAACCUUGCGGCCGUACUCCCCAGGCGGUCAACUUAAUGCGUUAGCUGCGCCACUAAGAGCUCAAGGCUCCCAACGGCUAGUUGACAUCGUUUACAGCGUGGACUAC